AGUGGAAAGACUCUGACAUAACUUUCCUAUAUACAAUAUGAAUACAUCACAGUGAAUCUCAACAACAUGUACAUCCAUAAGACUUGGAUCCUAAUUAGAAAAAGAUAUAUUCUAUGCUUGUAAAAAUGUAUCAAAAUAUAUUCUACUGUCAUAUAUAACUAAAAAUAGCAAAUAAAAUUUCUUGUUGUUGUUGUUGUUGUUGUUUUAAAGCCACAGAUGGUUUAACUCUAUGUAUUGUAGAGAAGGUUCAAUAAUGUCAGAAAAUUGGACAAUAGUUAGUAGGGUUUGGGUUAGGGUCAGUGAUUGAAUAUGUUAAUGAUGAAAUCUGAAAAUGCAGGGAAUGGCCCUAUGAGCAUGUGUUAGCCAAAUUGACUUCCAAAUGCCUUCCUAAGGAAUGACAUGAAAUUAUCAUCACCCCAAAUCAAACACAGAGAGGGAAGAAGAAGGAUAUCUGUGAUGUAGUAUCUGUAAUGGAAUAUGCUCAAGAGCUCACAAGGAUGGUGGAGGCAGAGAAGUGUGUAAAAGUCAGGUAGGGGGUAAAACUUCAAUAAACAUGGAGGUGAGCUGACUUAACACUUUCUUCACAGCCUGUCUCUAAGCUUUUGGUACUUGAGCUUGAUGUUGCUGUCAGGAGCAUUGGUUUUCUUGGACCUGAUACCAUCACAACUGGAUAUCUUUUAUGGUGAUCUGGAAGACAUGGUUUUCUAUUUUUAAUGUGCCUGAGGCAGAACAGCUGAAUCCUCUUCCUAUAGGUGAACCAUGGCCACUGGGGGAUGAAUGUCUCCGUGUGUGCAUUGUGUAUC
Molecule: long non-coding RNA, 803 nt
Filed under: Marmota monax (woodchuck)
Lineage: Eukaryota; Metazoa; Chordata; Mammalia; Rodentia; Sciuridae
Source: RNAcentral